This 632-nucleotide ribosomal RNA is filed under the name Leistus ferruginosus. RNAcentral's name for it is "partial large subunit ribosomal RNA". The stretch from base 386 to 545 matches the Rfam family "Bacterial large subunit ribosomal RNA", at positions 2473 to 2632 of the family's 2925-position model. RNAcentral also lists the same sequence under 1 other name. Lineage: Eukaryota; Metazoa; Arthropoda; Insecta; Coleoptera; Carabidae. The record is from RNAcentral.
GUCCUUUUGAGUUUAAUUUAAGGUCUAACCUGCCCACUGAAUUUUUAAAUGGCCGCAGUAAUUUGACUGUGCAAAGGUAGCAUAAUAAUUAGUUUUUUAAUUUAAAGCUUGUAUGAAGGGUUGGACGAAAUAAAAUCUGUCUCUAUUUAAUUAAAUUUAGAAUUUAACUUUUAAGUUAAAAGGCUUAAAUAUUAUUAAAAGACGAGAAGACCCUAUAGAUCUUUAUAUUUUUUUUAAUAAUUUUAAUUAGGAAUUAUUAAUUUUUUAUUAAAAAAAUUAUUUUAUUGGGGUAAUAUAAAGAUUAGAAUAAUUCUUUUUUAUUUAGACAUAAAUUUAUGGUUUUUAUGAUCCAAUUUUAUUGAUUAUAAGAUUAAGUUACCUUAGGGAUAACAGCGUAAUUUUUUUUGAGAGUUCUUAUCGAUAAGAAAGUUUGCGACCUCGAUGUUGGAUUAAAGAUUAUUUUAGGUGUAGAAGCUUGAAAAUUUUGGUCUGUUCGACCAUUAAAUCUUUACAUGAUCUGAGUUCAGACCGGCGUAAGCCAGGUCGGUUUCUAUCUUUAAUAAAUUAAAAUAUUUUAGUACGAAAGGACCAAUUAUUUAAUAUAUUUAUAUUUAAUUUUUGAAUAUUAUUAA